GAUGAACGCUGGCGGCGUGCCUAAUACAUGCAAGUCGAGCGAACGGACGAGAAGCUUGCUUUUCUGAUGUUAGCGGCGGACGGGUGAGUAACACGUGGAUCACCUACCUAUAAGACUGGGAUAACUUCGGGAAACCGGAGCUAAUACCGGAUAAUAUUUUGAACCGCAUGGUUCAAAAGUGAAAGACGGUCUUGCUGGCACUUAUAGAUGGAUCCGCGCUGCAUUAGCUAGUUGGUAAGGUAACGGCUUACCAAGGCAACGAUGCAUAGCCGACCUGAGAGGGUGAUCGGCCACACUGGAACUGAGACACGGUCCAGACUCCUACGGGAGGCAGCAGUAGGGAAUCUUCCGCAGUGGGCGAAAGCCUGACGGAGCAACGCCGCGUGAGUGAUGAAGGUCUUCGGAUCGUAAAACUCUGUUAUUAGGGAAGAACAGAUGUGUAAGUAACUGUGCACAUCUUGACGGUACCUAAUCAGAAAGCCACGGCUAACUACGUG
RNAcentral lists this ribosomal RNA (497 nucleotides) under uncultured bacterium. Its description in RNAcentral is "partial 16S ribosomal RNA". It matches the Rfam family "Bacterial small subunit ribosomal RNA", at positions 28 to 507 of the family's 1533-position model. The record is from RNAcentral.